Zingiber officinale is the source of this 619-nucleotide long non-coding RNA. RefSeq lists it as uncharacterized. NCBI's taxonomy places the organism in Eukaryota, Viridiplantae, Streptophyta, Magnoliopsida, Zingiberales, Zingiberaceae. The record is from RefSeq and is a predicted model, not a curated record. The transcript has 4 exons.
UUUCCCAGCUCCUCAGUCGCGUGUGGCUAUUUUCCCCUACGCCUAUCGAAGCACAGAUGUCUUUGUCGACCUCUGCUUCUCCAUCUCCUCUGCUACUCACUUUGCAACCACACAGGGCUCUUCCCUUCCACUGCUCUUCCUUCUCCCUUCGCCUUCCCAACCAUCUCACAUGGCCUCACUGCCGCUAGAGCCCCAUCAUCCGACGGAGCACGACGCCUUCCUUGUUGCCGCCGCUCCUUCCCAGAGUUCUCAGGUGGGUGAGGGUAAGAUCUCUCUAUGGUUGGUUUUGCGGCGGAAGCCAGUCCUAGCCAUGGUCAUUGUUGCCAAGAUAUUUUUUGCAGAUGUUCAUCAAUGCUUUUGAUAAAGCUGCCGACUUGGAUGUUCUAGACCACCCAAUUCCGAACUUCAUCUACUACAUGGUGUCCUGAAGAGUACUAGGAAGAAUGGCGAAAAGUUGAAAAAAUGGAGAAACUUUAGCAGGUUAAGGAACACUGGGAGCUGCAGUGUCGCCUCUUCACCGGCAUCUAAGAAAAAAAAUCUCAUGUGUUGUAAAUAUUAUUUUCGAAUGUUAGAAAAUUGUAUAUUAAAUUUUAUAUGUCAAAAAGUUCUAAAAUAUAAA